Non-coding RNA from Potamilus streckersoni, 84 nucleotides. The record is from the annotation of a GenBank genome assembly. Lineage: Eukaryota; Metazoa; Mollusca; Bivalvia; Unionida; Unionidae.
GCUCUGGUGGCCUAGUGGUUAUAGUGUCUGCCUCAGAUGCUGGAGAUCGUAGGUUUGAACUCUGUCCAAGUCAUACCCAGGACU